RNAcentral lists this unclassified non-coding RNA (437 nucleotides) under uncultured Mycena. RNAcentral describes it as "sequence contains ITS2". The stretch from base 1 to 154 matches the Rfam family "5.8S ribosomal RNA". The record is from RNAcentral. Lineage: Eukaryota; Fungi; Basidiomycota; Agaricomycetes; Agaricales; Tricholomataceae.
AACUUUUAGCAAUGGAUCACUUGGCUCUCCCAUCGAUGAAGAACGCAGCGAAAUGCGAUAAGUAAUGUGAAAUGCAGAAUUCAGUGAAUCAUCGAAUCUUUGAACGCACCUUGCGCCCUUUGGUAUUCCGAAGGGCAUGCCUGUUUGAGUGUCAUUAAAUUAUCAACCUUGCUCGCUUUUACCGGCUUGAGCUGAGGCUUGGACGUGGGGGUUGCUGGCUUCCUUCAGUGGAUGGUCUGCUCUCCUUAAAUGCAUUAGCGGAAUCUCUUGUGGACCGUCACUCGGUGUGAUAAUUAUCUAUACCGCAUGGCCUUGAAGCAAACUUAUGGGACUCAGCUUAUAACCGUCUUCUUUACUGAGACAAUUUUUAAUAACAUCUUGACCUCAAAUCAGGUAGGACUACCCGCUGAACUUAAGCAUAUCAAUAAGCGGAGGCU